Molecule: ribosomal RNA, 460 nt
Filed under: uncultured bacterium
Lineage: Bacteria
Description: partial 16S ribosomal RNA
Rfam family: Bacterial small subunit ribosomal RNA
Source: RNAcentral
CCUACGGGAGGCAGCAGUGAGGAAUAUUGGUCAAUGGACGAGAGUCUGAACCAGCCAAGUAGCGUGAAGGAUGACUGCCCUAUGGGUUGUAAACUUCUUUUAUAUGGGAAUAAAAUGUUCCACGUGUGGGAUUUUGUAUGUACCAUAUGAAUAAGGAUCGGCUAACUCCGUGCCAGCAGCCGCGGUAAUACGGAGGCUACGUGCGUUAUCCGGAUUUAUUGGGGUUAAAGGGAGCGUAGGUGGAUUGUUAAGUCAGUUGUGAAAGUUUGCGGCUCAACCGUAAAAUUGCAGUUGAAACUGGCAGUCGUGAGUACAGUAGAGGUGGGCGGAAUUCGUGGUGUAGCGGUGAAAUGCUUAGAUAUCACGAAGAACUCCGAUUGCGAAGGCAGCUCCCUGGACUGCAACUGACACUGAGGCUCGAAAGUGUGGGUAUCAAACAGGAUUAGAUACCCUAGUAGUC